UGGGGAAUUUUGGACAAUGGGCGAAAGCCUGAUCCAGCCAUGCCGCGUGAGUGAAGAAGGCCUUCGGGUUGUAAAGCUCUUUUAGUCGGAAAGAAAGAGUUGCAAUGAAUAAUUGUGAUUUAUGACGGUACCGACAGAAAAAGCACCGGCUAACUACGUGCCAGCAGCCGCGGUAAUACGUAGGGUGCGAGCGUUAAUCGGAAUUACUGGGCGUAAAGGGUGCGCAGGCGGUCUUGCAAGUCAGAUGUGAAAGCCCCGGGCUUAACCUGGGAAUUGCGUUUGAAACUACAAGGCUAGAGUGCAGCAGAGGGGAGUGGAAUUCCAUGUGUAGCAGUGAAAUGCGUAGAGAUGUGGAAGAACACCGAUGGCGAAGGCAGCUCCCUGGGUUGACACUGACGCUCAUGUACGAAAGCGUGGGGAGCAAACA
This 427-nucleotide ribosomal RNA is filed under the name uncultured beta proteobacterium. RNAcentral's name for it is "bacterial SSU rRNA". It matches the Rfam family "Bacterial small subunit ribosomal RNA", at positions 355 to 774 of the family's 1533-position model. The record is from RNAcentral. Lineage: Bacteria; Pseudomonadati; Pseudomonadota; Betaproteobacteria.